This 468-nucleotide ribosomal RNA is filed under the name uncultured bacterium. Its description in RNAcentral is "partial 16S ribosomal RNA". It matches the Rfam family "Bacterial small subunit ribosomal RNA", at positions 28 to 507 of the family's 1533-position model. The record is from RNAcentral.
GACGAACGCUGGCGGCGUGCUUAACACAUGCAAGUCGAACGGAAAGGCCCUGCUUUUGUGGGGUGCUCGAGUGGCGAACGGGGGAGUAACACGUGAGUAACCUGCCCUUGACUUUGGGAUAACUUCAGGAAACUGGGGCUAAUACCGGAUAGGAGCUCCUGCUGCAUGGUGGGGGUUGGAAAGUGUCGGCGGUUGGGGAUGGACUCGCGGCUUACCAGCUUGUUGGUGGGGUAGUGGCUGACCAAGGCUUUGACGGGUAGCCGGCCUGAGAGGGUGACCGGCGACAUUGGGACUACGAGACGGCGCAGUCUCCUACGGGAGGCAGCAGUGGGGAGUAUUGCACAACGGGGGGAAGCCUGAUGCAGCAACGCCGCGUGCGGGAUGCCGGCCUUCGGGUUGUAAACCGCUUUCGCCUGUGACGAAGCGUGAGUGACGGUAAUGGGUAAAGAAGCACCGGCUAACUACGUG